Molecule: ribosomal RNA, 483 nt
Filed under: uncultured bacterium
Lineage: Bacteria
Description: partial 16S ribosomal RNA
Rfam family: Bacterial small subunit ribosomal RNA
Source: RNAcentral
GACGAACGCUGGCGGCGUGCUUAACACAUGCAAGUCGAACGCUGAAGCUCAGCUUUUGUUGGGUGGAUGAGUGGCGAACGGGUGAGUAACACGUGAGUAACCUGCCCCCUUCUUGGGGAUAACGCCCGGAAACGGGUGCUAAUACUGGAUAUUCACUGGUCUUCGCAUGGGGGUUGGUGGAAAGGGUUUUUCUGGUGGGGGAUGGGCUCGCGGCCUAUCAGCUUGUUGGUGGGGUGAUGGCCUACCAAGGCUUUGACGGGUAGCCGGCCUGAGAGGGUGACCGGUCACAUUGGGACUGAGAUACGGCCCAGACUCCUACGGGAGGCAGCAGUGGGGAAUAUUGCACAAUGGGCGCAAGCCUGAUGCAGCGACGCCGCGUGAGGGAUGGAGGCCUUCGGGUUGUGAACCUCUUUCGCUCAUGGUCAAGCCGCAACAAUGGUUGUGGUGAGGGUAGUGGGUAAAGAAGCGCCGGCUAACUACGUA